Molecule: long non-coding RNA, 343 nt
Filed under: Elaeis guineensis (African oil palm)
Lineage: Eukaryota; Viridiplantae; Streptophyta; Magnoliopsida; Arecales; Arecaceae
Description: long non-coding RNA (EGUI_LNC081649)
Source: RNAcentral
CCCCGACCUCUAAAAAGACUCCCGACACAGGUUAGGAAGAUAGCGACAUCUCCAAAGUAAUGCGGAGUCCGGACGGCCAAGCUCGGGCUUGCGGCCAUGCACGAUGAGAAAGGCAAGCUAACGCAUCGACGACUGGGCGCCUCCCAAUGAUGUCUACAUCAGACAAGUCGAGCGACAAGAAAAGUUCGGCGAACGACAAUUUAGUACAAUGCGCGGAUGAGGUAACACGAAACACCCUUUUCAUUCCAUUUCCAAAAUACACACUACAAAACCCGGAAGGCCAAGGAAAGAAAAGCAAAACGACAAAAGUGGGAUAAAACAACAAAAAGGAAAGUAUACACAU